AGAGUUUGAUCCUGGCUCAGAUUGAACGCUGGCGGCAUGCCUUACACAUGCAAGUCGAACGGCAGCACGGGAGCUUGCUCCUGGUGGCGAGUGGCGAACGGGUGAGUAAUAUAUCGGAACGUACCCAGUCGUGGGGGAUAGCCCGGCGAAAGCCGGAUUAAUACCGCAUACGAUCUACGGAUGAAAGCGGGGGACCUUCGGGCCUCGCGCGAUUGGAGCGGCCGAUAUCUGAUUAGCUAGUUGGUGAGGUAAAGGCUCACCAAGGCGACGAUCAGUAGCUGGUCUGAGAGGACGACCAGCCACACUGGAACUGAGACACGGUCCAGACUCCUACGGGAGGCAGCAGUGGGGAAUUUUGGACAAUGGGGGCAACCCUGAUCCAGCAAUGCCGCGUGAGUGAAGAAGGCCUUCGGGUUGUAAAGCUCUUUUGUCAGGGAAGAAACGGUGAGCUCUAACAUAGCUUGCUAAUGACGGUACCUGAAGAAUAAGCACCGGCUAACUACGUGCCAGCAGCCGCGGUAAUACGUAGGGUGCGAGCGUUAAUCGGAAUUACUGGGCGUAAAGCGUGCGCAGGCGGUUGUGCAAGACAGAUGUGAAAUCCCCGGGCUCAACCUGGGAAUUGCAUUUGUGACUGCACGGCUAGAGUGUGUCAGAGGGGGGUAGAAUUCCACGUGUAGCAGUGAAAUGCGUAGAGAUGUGGAGGAAUACCGAUGGCGAAGGCAGCCCCCUGGGAUAACACUGACGCUC
Molecule: ribosomal RNA, 747 nt
Filed under: uncultured bacterium
Lineage: Bacteria
Description: bacterial SSU rRNA
Rfam family: Bacterial small subunit ribosomal RNA
Source: RNAcentral